This is a small nucleolar RNA of Cyprinodon variegatus (sheepshead minnow), 199 nucleotides long. Its record names the gene SNORA74. It matches the Rfam family "Small nucleolar RNA SNORA74". From Rfam's summary of the family: U19 belongs to the H/ACA class of snoRNAs. snoRNAs bind a number of proteins (including dyskerin, Gar1p and Nop10p in the case of the H/ACA class) to form snoRNP complexes. This class are thought to guide the sites of modification of uridines to pseudouridines by forming direct base pairing interactions with substrate RNAs. Targets may include ribosomal and spliceosomal RNAs but the exact functions of many snoRNAs, including U19, are not confirmed. NCBI's taxonomy places the organism in Eukaryota, Metazoa, Chordata, Actinopteri, Cyprinodontiformes, Cyprinodontidae. The record is from Ensembl.
CCCAGCUCUAAGUCAGCUGACCAGCCCUGAUGGCUGGCUCGGUGUUACAGAGCUGGCAGAGGAAGCCUCUGCAUGCGCUCUCAGCGGCGCCGCCUCUGUUUUAGAGGAAGCUGCUGCUGAGAUUCUGCAGAGCUCGGUCCAAAGAGAGUGGCCCGCCCCGGUCCGUCUGCAGGGCGGGCCUAGUAGAGGACCGUACAGC